UAUAGAAACACACUCUGCUGAUGCUCUACUCUCAACUACAAAGCUGAAUGCAAUUUUCCCCAACUUGCCCUACAAAUGCAUUGCAAUUCUAACCAAGACACCAACAGGUUUUUUUUAAGCACGUGAUAAGCAAGUCCUAAAAUUUACAGAAGAGCAAAGGGCCAAAAGAUCCUGAAGAACCUGGUAGAGAUCUGCUCUAUCAGGUAUUAAGAAUCAUAAGCUAUAGCAAUUAAGGCAGUAUGGUAUUAGCUCAGGUGCAGACAAAUAAGCCAACACAAUAACAGAGAGAACACAGAAACAGACCCUGGCAUUCAUGGAAACCUGACAGAUCAUGGCUAGUACUGCAAGUCAGUGGGGAAAUGAUAAAAAGUUCCAAUAAAUGGUCUGGGACGCUG
This is a non-coding RNA of Ceratotherium simum simum (southern white rhinoceros), 395 nucleotides long. Lineage: Eukaryota; Metazoa; Chordata; Mammalia; Perissodactyla; Rhinocerotidae. The record is from RefSeq and is a predicted model, not a curated record.